Molecule: long non-coding RNA, 154 nt
Organism: Haliotis rubra (blacklip abalone)
Lineage: Eukaryota; Metazoa; Mollusca; Gastropoda; Lepetellida; Haliotidae
Exons: 3
Source: RefSeq, a predicted model, not a curated record
GUGAAAUGGUAUAUGGCGGUAUUAGUAGAACCGUGGUAAUUUGCCUUCGGUUUGGUAUACCAUGAUGCAAUCCAAAAAAUCUGUAUUUUCGGUUUUAGUACCAUCAUUUUAUUAACCAUUUUAAGCCUUUUCUAAAAUCAUUUUGUCAAAAUCU